ACCGACGGUGUUGAACACAUUAGCGAAUUAUGCUCUCGCCUUUUACUAGAGCAAACCGUGCGUUCGUCACAAUCGUCGGUUCGAAUUUCUUCCUAAACUCUCAUCAUAGAGUAU
RNAcentral lists this small nuclear RNA (114 nucleotides) under Kwoniella dejecticola CBS 10117. Its description in RNAcentral is "U5 spliceosomal RNA". It matches the Rfam family "U5 spliceosomal RNA". Rfam says of the family: U5 RNA is a component of both types of known spliceosome. The precise function of this molecule is unknown, though it is known that the 5' loop is required for splice site selection and p220 binding, and that both the 3' stem-loop and the Sm site are important for Sm protein binding and cap methylation. Lineage: Eukaryota; Fungi; Basidiomycota; Tremellomycetes; Tremellales; Cryptococcaceae. The record is from Rfam by way of RNAcentral.